GAUGAACGCUAGCGGCAGGCUUAACACAUGCAAGUCGAGGGGUAACAUUGUAGCUUGCUACAGAUGACGACCGGCGCACGGGUGCGUAACGCGUAUAGAACCUACCUUUUACAGAGGGAUAGCCCAGAGAAAUUUGGAUUAAUACCUCAUAGUAUUAUAGAUUGGCAUCGAUUUAUAAUUAAAGAUUUAUUGGUAAGAGAUGGCUAUGCGUCCUAUUAGUUAGUUGGAGAGGUAACGGCUCCCCAAGACAGCGAUAGGUAGGGGUCCUGAGAGGGAGACCCCCCACACUGGUACUGAGACACGGACCAGACUCCUACGGGAGGCAGCAGUGAGGAAUAUUGGACAAUGGAGGCAACUCUGAUCCAGCCAUGCCGCGUGCAGGAAGACGGUCCUAUGGAUUGUAAACUGCUUUUAUACAGGAAGAAAAGUCCCGACGUGUCGGGAUCUGACGGUACUGUAAGAAUAAGCACCGGCUAACUCCGUGCCAGCAGCCGCGGUAAUACGGAGGGUGCAAGCGUUGUUCGGAAUUAUUGGGCGUAAAGCGCGUGUAGGCGGUCUGUUAAGUCUGGUGUGAAAGCCCUGGGCUCAACCCAGGAAGUGCAUUGGAUACUGGCAGACUUGAGUAUGGGAGAGGAAAGCGGAAUUCCGAGUGUAGGAGUGAAAUCCGUAGAUAUUCGGAGGAACACCAGUGGCGAAGGCGGCUUUCUGGACCAAUACUGACGCUGAGACGCGAAAAGCGUGGGGAGCAAAACAGGAUUAGAUACCCUGGUAGUCCACGCCGUAAACGAUGGGUACUAGGUGUUGCGGGUAACCACUCCUGCAGUGCCGAAGCUAACGCAUUAAGUACCCCGCCUGGGGAGUACGGCCGCAAGGCUAAAACUCAAAGGAAUUGACGGGGGCCCGCACAAGCGGUGGAGCAUGUGGUUUAAUUCGACGCAACGCGAAGAACCUUACCUGGAUUUGACAUCCCGAUCGUACCUUUUGGAAACAUAAGGGUCAGCUUGGCUGGAUCGGUGACAGGUGCUGCAUGGCUGUCGUCAGCUCGUGUCGUGAGAUGUCGGGUUAAGUCCCGCAACGAGCGCAACCCCUAUCCUUAGUUGCCAUCAUUAAGUUGGGCACUCUAGGGAGACUGCCGGUGUUAAACCGGAGGAAGGUGGGGAUGACGUCAAGUCCUCAUGGCCCUUAUAUCCAGGGCUACACACGUGCUACAAUGGCCGGUACAAAGGGCAGCGAUACCGCGAGGUGGAGCUAAUCCCAAAAAGCCGGUCUCAGUUCGGAUUGGAGUCUGCAACUCGACUCCAUGAAGUUGGAAUCGCUAGUAAUCGUAGAUCAGCAUGCUACGGUGAAUACGUUCCCGGGCCUUGUACACACCGCCCGUCACACCACGGGAGUCUAUUGUACCGGAAACCGGUGGGCUAACCCCUCGGGGAAGCAGCCGUUUAUGGUAUGAUCGGUAACUGGGGUGA
RNAcentral lists this ribosomal RNA (1466 nucleotides) under uncultured delta proteobacterium. Its description in RNAcentral is "bacterial SSU rRNA". It matches the Rfam family "Bacterial small subunit ribosomal RNA". Lineage: Bacteria; Deltaproteobacteria. The record is from RNAcentral.